UACGGGAGUGGCAAGCGUUAUCCGGAAUUAUUGGGCGUAAAGCGUCCGCAGGCGGCCGUACAAGUCUGUCGUUAAAGCGUGGAGCUUAACUCCAUUUGAGCGAUGGAAACUGUAAGGCUUGAGUGUGGUAGGGGCAGAGGGAAUUCCCGGUGUAGCGGUGAAAUGCGUAGAUAUCGGGAAGAACACCAGUGGCGAAGGCGCUCUGCUGGGCCAUAACUGACGCUCAUGGACGAAAGCCAGGGGAGCGAAAGGG
Molecule: unclassified non-coding RNA, 253 nt
Filed under: uncultured cyanobacterium
Lineage: Bacteria; Bacillati; Cyanobacteriota
Description: contains 16S-23S intergenic spacer region
Rfam family: Bacterial small subunit ribosomal RNA
Source: RNAcentral